Molecule: long non-coding RNA, 744 nt
Filed under: Homo sapiens (human)
Lineage: Eukaryota; Metazoa; Chordata; Mammalia; Primates; Hominidae
Description: HSALNT0370078
Source: RNAcentral
AGCUUACUGCUGAGCACUCUUCCACAUCUGUGAAGAGCUGCUCUCCAUUCUGACAGCCACGUUUAAGGAGGUGGUGGAGGCGGCAGUCUAUCCAACACCCUCCACACAGGAAGAAAGGAUUGCAAAGUGCUACUGAGUAAAUGAACAUCAUUCACAUGGAAAUGCACUGGACGAGAUCAUACAUGUUAAGACAGUUAACAGACAGAAUCAACCAUGGAUUACUUCCAAUGACCAGUGCAAUGACUUGAGCACACACAGACCCAUUUAAAUACAUAAUGAGGGAGAACAUAUGAUCAAGGGCGGAGAUGCCAUCAUUUGUGCUCUGUAUACAACCUACUUUUAUUAAAUGGAAAUUAUGGUCACUGAAUAACUCAAUCUACCUAAACUCUUACAAGGAAUCAGAAGCCCUCAGUUCUUAAGCUGGGUCUGUACUGAUUUACAAUGGGACACAAACACACUGUACCUCCUUAACCCUAACACCCACUUUCCAAUUGCCUGUCUUUCAAAACUAUCUAAUUAGAUUUCUUUAAAAAGAACAUUUUUGUCAUUUGUGAGGAAUUUUUCUUUUCUUUUUUAGUUUGCUCUUACUGAAAAACCAAGGCAACUUCAACUUUAUCUUUUCAUAGGGUCCCUUUCCAAGUGUUAUGACUGAAUGGAAGCUGUGUGGUUGGUGAAGUACUUCGGCUAUAUUUCCAAAAAUAUGCAAUUGUUAGGGGCUGCAAUGCAACAGCCAGUUCCAGAGAC